CCUACGGGAGGCACCAGUAGGGAAUCUUCGGCAAUGGACGAAAGUCUGACCGAGCAACGCCGCGUGAGUGAAGAAGGUUUUCGGAUCGUAAAACUCUGUUGUUAGAGAAGAACAAGUAGGAGAGUAACUGCUCUUACCUUGACGGUAUCUAUCCAGAAAGCCACGGCUAACUACGUGCCAGCAGCCGCGGUAAUACGUAGGUGGCAAGCGUUGUCCGGAUUUAUAGGGCGUAAAGCGAGCGCAGGCGGUCUUUUAAGUCUGAUGUGAAAGCCCUCGGCUCAACCGAGGAAGGUCAUUGGAAACUGGAGGACUUGAGUGCAGAAGAGGAGAGUGGAAUUCCAUGUGUAGCGGUGAAAUGCGUAGAUAUAUGGAGGAACACCAGUGGCGAAGGCGACUCUCUGGUCUGUAACUGACGCUGAGGCUCGAAAGCGUGGGGAGCAAACAGGAUUAGAUACCGGAGUAAUC
This 465-nucleotide ribosomal RNA is filed under the name uncultured bacterium. RNAcentral's name for it is "bacterial SSU rRNA". It matches the Rfam family "Bacterial small subunit ribosomal RNA", at positions 338 to 795 of the family's 1533-position model. The record is from RNAcentral.